CUGAGGUUUGGAGUGUGUCUGUGAUGUUUAGAGAAAGGGUUCUUCUUUUGGUAAGUGUCAUGGAUAGUGCUGAAAUAGCGGCACCUGAACAUGACUUCUGGGCAUUACGGUUUGUGUCAGAAUUCGGUUUAGGAUUCGGGAUCUCACGUGGAUCAAGUACUUGGUUAUUGGAGUGUGAGUAGUAUUGUUAGAGUUAGCCUCAGUGUUAAGUAAGGGGUAGUGUUUUUUUUCCAUGUUUCUGGCCAUUGCAGUGUGGCUCUGAUGGGUAGUGUUGUGUUCCAGUUUUAGCUAGGGUUAGGGUUUGGGUUGGGGUGAUAGGUAGCAUUGAAAUUGAAAUGCCUGUGUCUUCAAGUGUGGGGUAGCAAGUCAUUAAUGUGUAAGUACAUGGUGAGGAUUUGGGAAAAUGUAGAAUUCAAGUACCUCGGUGUUGGAAUUUGGUCCUGCUCCUUAGGGUUAUGUUUAGGCCUAGGUUCCGCUUUCGGGUUCGAAGAUACGUUCCUGACGUUUGGAGUGUGUCUGUGAUGUUGAGGGAAAGGGUUCUUCUUUUGGUAAGUGUCAUGGAUAGUGCUGAACUAGAGGAACCUGAAAAUGACUUCUGGGCAUUACGGUUUGUGUCAGAAUUCGGUUUAGGGUUCGGGAUGGCCCGUGGAUCAAGUACCUGGUUAUUGGAGUGUGAGUAGUAUUGUUAGAGUUAGCCUCAGCGUUAAGUAAGGGGUAGUGUUUUUUUUCCGUGUUCCUGGACAUUGCAGUGUGGCUAUGAUGGGGAGUGUUGCGUUCAAGUUUUAGCUAGGGUUAGGGUUUGGGUUGGGGUGAUAGGUAGCAUUGAAAUUGAAAUGCCUGUGUCUUCAAGUGUGGGUUUGAAAGUGAGUACUAGCGUAAGUUCAUGGUGAGGGUUAGGUGUAAUGUAGAAUUUCAAGUCCCUGGGUAUUGGAAUGCGGUCCUGCUGCGUAGAUUUAGGGUUAGGAUUACUUUUAGGUUUAGGGUUCCAAUGCAUGUACCUGAGGUUUGGAGUGUGGGUAUGAGUUUUAGGUUUAGGGAUCUUCUGUUGGGAAAUGUCAGAUAGUGCAGAAGCCCAGGUCCCUGAAAAUCACUUCUGGACAAUACGGUUUGUGUCCGAAUUCAGCUUACAGUUAGGGAUGGUGCACGUGGAUCAAGUUCCUGGUUAUUGUAGUGUGAGUAAGAUUGUUCGUGUUAGGAUUAUUGUUAGGUAAGAUAUAGUGUAAUUUUACAUGUUCCUGGACUUUGCAGUGUGUCUCUGAUGGGUAGUUGUAGGGUUAGCGAUGUAGCUAGGGUUAGGCUUAGGUUUGGGGUCCUGAACAGCGUUGCCAUUGAAAUGCCUGUGUCUUCCAG
Molecule: long non-coding RNA, 1350 nt
Filed under: Heterocephalus glaber (naked mole-rat)
Lineage: Eukaryota; Metazoa; Chordata; Mammalia; Rodentia; Bathyergidae
Description: lncRNA (ENSHGLG00000048056.1)
Source: RNAcentral